AAUAGGGUGGGGCCGGCCCCCUCCUCUAGUCCUUUCGUUCAUCUUAUGUCGUCUUCAACCUCCGGACUCCUCCCUCCCCCUUCUCCGACCGCGGUUAACUGGUUUGUGGUCUCCGUCUACUGCUACUGCUAGGUGAGGGACGGAGGCAGGCGACUGAGCAGGGCAGAUUUGGUUUGUGGCCGCUCGCUACCCCUUCAAUCCGCCAGACCGGCGCUUGAGCAUUAGCAGCCCUAUUCGCUAUUCCCUCCCCUCCAUUCCUCUCCCUCGCUCAAGCGGGAGCUCGAGUCAAUCCCCACCAGUUCGACAGUUGCCCAAUAGCGAGAUGCCCGAAGAGAAUUCCGGAGGAGGCGCCGGCCAUGGCGAUGGCGGCGACAUCUACAACGUCCGGGCCGCCGAGAUCCUCGCCAACGAGGCCCUCUUGCUCCCCAUCAACGAAGCCGCCCCAAUCUACGAGAAGCUGCUCGCCACUUUCCCCACGGCUGCCAAAUACUGGAAGCAGUAUGUCGAAGCCUACAUGGCCACUAACAACCACGAAGCCACCAAGCAGAUUUUCAGCAGAUGCCUGCUCAACUGCCUUCACAUUAGUCUAUGGCGCUGUUACAUAAACUUUAUCAGGAGAAUAAACGAUAAAAGGGGCUCUGAGGGUCUUGAUGAAACAAAAAAGGCUUUUGAUUUCAUGCUCAACUAUGUUGGGAAUGAUGCUGCUUCUGGCCCUGUGUGGAUGGAGUAUAUUAAUUUCCUCAAGUCCAUGCCGGCUGUGACGCCCCAUGAAGAGUCGCAUCGCAUGACUACUGUUCGUAAAGUGUACCAGAAGGCAAUUUUAGUCCCAACUAAUCAUGUAGAGCAGCUUUGGAAGGAUUAUGAGAACUUCGAGAAUUCUGUUAGCCGCACCUUGGCAAAAGGUUUGUUAUCUGAAUAUCAACCAAAGUUUAACAGUGCUAAAGCUGUAUAUAGAGAGCGAAAAAAGUUCAUUGAUGAUAUUGAUUGGAAUGUGCUGGCCACUCCCCCUACAGGCUCUUACAAGGAAGAGCAACAGUGUAUGGCAUGGAAAAGACUCUUGGUAUUUGAAAAGGGGAACCCUCAAAGGAUUGAUGCUACAACAGCUAAUAGGCGUGUCACCUUUACUUAUGAGCAAUGCCUGAUGUAUCUAUAUCAUCAUCCUGAUAUAUGGUACGAUUAUGCUAUGUGGCAUGCGAAGAAUGGUUCUAUGGAUUCUGCAUCAAAAAUAUUUCAGCGAGCUCUAAAAGCAAUCCCUGAUUCUGAAGUACUUAAGUAUGCCUUUGCUGAAAUGGAAGAGUCCAGAGGGGCAAUACAGACUGCUAAGACAAUAUAUGAAUCUCUUCUAGGUGAAAAUGCUAGUGUGACCUCACUUGCAAAUAUUCAGUUUAUUCGGUUUCUAAGGAGAACUGAAGGCAUUGAAGCAGCUCGUAAGUACUUUUUGGAUGCUCGGAAGUCACCAAGCUGCACUUAUCAUUUGUAUGUUGCUUAUGCUACAAUGGCAUUCUGCGUUGACAAGGAUGCAAAGGUGGCACAAAGUGUUUUUGAAGCAGGUUUAAAGAGAUUUAUGCAUGAGCCAGGAUACAUCCUUGAAUAUGCAGACUUCCUGUGUCGUUUAAAUGACGACAGAAAUGUACGUGCUUUAUUUGAGAGGGCACUGAGCUUACUUCCACCUGAGGAAUCCACAGAGGUAUGGAGACGAUUUGCCCAAUUUGAGCAGAUCUACGGGGAUUUAUCAAGCAUGCUUAAGGUUGAACAAAGAAGGAAAGAGGCUCUUUCUAGGACAUCAGAAGAUGUCCUAUCUGCAUCGGAAAACACUCUUCAUGACAUAGUUUCUCGAUACAGUUAUAUGGAUCUUUGGCCAUGCUCAUCAAAAGAAUUGGAUUAUCUAGCGAGACAAGAGUGGCUAUCGAAAAACAUUUUUAAGAAGGUUGACAAAUCAGCUAUGCUAAAUAGCAGUAGCAUGCUAGACAAAGGUGCUGCAGGAUUUAGUGCGAGUGCAAGGUUACUACCACAAUCUGCCAAAGUUGUUCGUCCUGAGACUUCUCAAAUGAUCAUUUAUGAUCCAAGACAGAUGAAAGAUAUAUCUAGCCAUUUUAUUUGCAGCCUAGGAAGGGGAAGGGGAAGGGGAUGGGAAAGGGGAAGGAGAAUUCAGUUUGUGGCCCAGAGUUUGCAGCAACUAGCAGUGGGUACACGAAGGAGGUUGAAGACAUGCUCAAAGUGCUAUCACCGAUGAUGGUGUCCUUUAUUAAGAAUUUGCCUGCUAUUGAAGGACCAUCACCGGAUAUUGAUGUGGUGCUCAGCGUGCUGCUGCAGAGCACAUUGCCAGUUGCACAGAGUGCUGGGAAAGCAGGUGGCGUGAGUGAGCUCUCAGGCAUUGGAAAAGCAGGACUAAACCAGAAUGGAUCUGUUCAUAGACCUCCAAGGGAGAGAAGGAAGGACGUGGAAAGGCAAGGGGUGCAGGAGGAAGAGGAUGCGUCAACGGUGCAGAGUAGGGCAGCUGUGCCACGAGACAUCUUCAGGCUUCGACAGAUUCAGAGGAGCCGUGGCCUGGGGGUGGGCGCUGCUGCCGCCGCUUCACAGUCUGGGUCCUCGGCAUUUUCCUUCUCGGGCGGUGGAAGCGCCUUCUCUGGGGAUCACUCAGCCAGCACAGAUUAGUAGUUUAUCUAUGGUGGAAUAUAUCAGCUGUAUCAUUAUUUAGCAUCUGCAUUUCAGAAUUUACAUUAUUGUAGGGUGAAACUGUUGGUGCUAAGCUUUGUGAUAGAAUGGACACCUGUGAGUAGAUCGUAAAGUCUGAUGUGCUGUUUCUUCUAACUGUUGGUCCUGGGGCGGUGCUGAUGAUGCCGAGGAUGAUGAAUGAAUGAAAGCACAAUCAAAGAGAACUUGUCCAGUUGCUUUU
Sorghum bicolor (sorghum) is the source of this 2896-nucleotide RNA transcript. It is a transcript of the gene named cleavage stimulation factor subunit 77, with no coding region annotated. Lineage: Eukaryota; Viridiplantae; Streptophyta; Magnoliopsida; Poales; Poaceae. The transcript has 24 exons. The record is from RefSeq and is a predicted model, not a curated record.